RNAcentral lists this ribosomal RNA (464 nucleotides) under Salmonella enterica. RNAcentral's name for it is "partial 23S ribosomal RNA". It matches the Rfam family "Bacterial large subunit ribosomal RNA", at positions 161 to 666 of the family's 2925-position model. RNAcentral also lists the same sequence under 2 other names. The record is from RNAcentral. Lineage: Bacteria; Pseudomonadati; Pseudomonadota; Gammaproteobacteria; Enterobacterales; Enterobacteriaceae.
AAUCCAUAGGUUAAUGAGGCGAACCGGGGGAACUGAAACAUCUAAGUACCCCGAGGAAAAGAAAUCAACCGAGAUUCCCCCAGUAGCGGCGAGCGAACGGGGAGGAGCCCAGAGCCUGAAUCAGCAUGUGUGUUAGUGGAAGCGUCUGGAAAGGCGCGCGAUACAGGGUGACAGCCCCGUACACAAAAGCGCAUGUGCUGUGAGCUCGAUGAGUAGGGCGGGACACGUGGUAUCCUGUCUGAAUAUGGGGGGACCAUCCUCCAAGGCUAAAUACUCCUGACUGACCGAUAGUGAACCAGUACCGUGAGGGAAAGGCGAAAAGAACCCCGGCGAGGGGAGUGAAAAAGAACCUGAAACCGUGUACGUACAAGCAGUGGGAGCACCCUUUGGGGUGUGACUGCGUACCUUUUGUAUAAUGGGUCAGCGACUUAUAUUCUGUAGCAAGGUUAACCGAAUAGGGGAGC